This 253-nucleotide ribosomal RNA is filed under the name uncultured bacterium. RNAcentral describes it as "partial 16S ribosomal RNA". It matches the Rfam family "Bacterial small subunit ribosomal RNA", at positions 524 to 776 of the family's 1533-position model. The record is from RNAcentral.
UACGUAGGGUGCAAGCGUUAAUCGGAAUUACUGGGCGUAAAGCGUGCGCAGGCGGUUGUGCAAGACAGAUGUGAAAUCCCCGGGCUUAACCUGGGAACUGCAUUUGUGACUGCACGGCUAGAGUGUGUCAGAGGGGGGUAGAAUUCCACGUGUAGCAGUGAAGUGCGUAGAGAUGUGGAGGAAUACCGAUGGCGAAGGCAGCCCCCUGGGAUAACACUGACGCUCAUGCACGAAAGCGUGGGGAGCAAACAGG